RNAcentral lists this long non-coding RNA (5919 nucleotides) under Nothobranchius furzeri (turquoise killifish). RNAcentral's name for it is "lncRNA (ENSNFUG00015008909.1)". The record is from RNAcentral. Lineage: Eukaryota; Metazoa; Chordata; Actinopteri; Cyprinodontiformes; Nothobranchiidae.
UUUUUUUUGCUGAUAAACUAAAUAAACGAGUGUCUAAUCGUGCUGCAGACACGUGUCGUCAAUAAUUUGGCACUUCAGUGCAUCUUAGUUAAAAUUUAAAUAUUCUGCCUAAAACUGGCAGUGUUGUGCCGUUGUCAGGUAAAAACUCUGCACUGUAUUUUAAUUUAAAUCUGCCACCGCUAUUGGCUAAGAAGUAUGCUAUGAUGUAAACUGGUACAUUAUGAUGUCACAAUGCUGUCGUGAGCCUGAGUGUGUGUGUAUUUGUUAGCGGCUCCGCCCUCUCGGUCUGCCAGGCAACAGCAUGUGUUGCAUUUUUCAAACAUGAAGUGGGAGUGGAGUUAGACUCUGGUAGGGGUUGACUUGCUCUUUAAGCUGUUUAACUUGGACCAAGCAUUUUAGGUCACAGAUAGGUGUAGCUUAGGGUCUCUGUCUAUACACCUUAUAAGACAAUUUAGGUGAUGGCAUGUUGUUUUUCUGCUAUUGAACUGUUUUCUAAUAAUGUUGUGUUUAAUAAAGUGAAGGAAGGAGAGAAAUAACGUUUCCCUAGCAGUUUUUAAAAAUGCCCCCAUGUAAUCCGAUUAAUCGAUUAAUCGUGUCAAGACCCCAUCCGAUUCAUCGAUUAUCCAAAUAAUCGUUUGUUGCAGCCCUAGUGGAGUCUCUUGUCUAAGUGUUUUUUCUCCUUAUGAGUCACCUUGUUCUGUGACUCCCAUGGAAAACCAUCCUAACAGUGUAGAGGCGAGCCAAGGCAAGCAGGCGUUGGUGGAAAAGGGGCAAUGGUCUGAGGCAGUUUGAUCUGACCAGCCUUUCCCAAAACCCAAGGAUGUCCCAACAUGAACACCGUACAGAAGAGAGCCUCUGAGACAUCCAGCCAAUCAGAUCUGCUUCCAUUCCACAGGUCAAAUUCUUCCAUGAUUCACCAGGUCAGAAAGGGACCCGGCAGGCCUCGGAUCAAAGAUAAAUACGAUGGACUAGAACUCAGAGUCCGGUUACUGGAGGACCCUAAGAUGGAAGGGCUUUCUAAUAAAGUGUUUAAGAAAACUCCAGUCCAGGACCUGAAGUGUCCUCGUGGUCUACAGGAGUCAGACUUCAUGGACCUCCUGAGGUCCUCCUUCCCUCAGCUGGCUAACGGAGAACCUUUUGACCUCUUCAAAACCGAUCGCAGAAGGAAGCUGCUGCCUCUGAGAGUGAAAGCUCUGACUCCAGAGGAGAUCCACGAGACCGUUAACUGGCCUAGUAGAUGUGGACAAUUACUGACCCUCUACCUACGACUGAAGAACGGUGAGCAAAACAAUCUCAACAAGGAAGGAGAACUUUGUGAUUUUCCAGCAAUGGUUGAGCCUCCAUCUGCUGAACCAGUGCACCUACAGAACAACGAGGCUGAGAUCCAUCAAAGGUUAGUUAAUUAUACACAUCUGUACAAAAUGUUUGUAAACAUCUUUUUAUCACAGCAUUUUAGAAUGGAGCAAAGGGGAUUAAAUAGGAUGAAAGUAUUAGCCUGGCCGGCCGUGCCAGUGCUUCCUUAGCAGGACCGUGCGGGGACCUUAGACGGGGCGGGUGCUCAAAGUAAAAAAAAAAAAAGGGGCACUUAUAGAGCAAUCCAACAAGUUAGAAAAUUCUAAUGACAACAUAAUAAAAAUAUAUAAAUUAGUGUCAUUAGUGUUAAUGUUAGUUCAUAAAUAACAGUUUUAGUUUUUAAAGCUGACUUAUAUCUAGAGAUGUUACAACCACAUUUCUGCCCCUGAUCUGAGUCCAAGUUGUUUGAUUUUUGAUUAUCUUCCAAUAGGGCUGGGCGAUAUGAUGAUUUUAGACCGUUUUACGAUCUACACAUGUGACGGUCUGUCAUUUUUGAGACGGUUCACAGCUCUGCUGUUGAAUUUCUGCCUCUGAAUGAAAAUGGAACUUACCUCAGGCGAAUGACACGCCUUUGUUUGACCCUCAACCAAUCAGAGUGAGUCAUAGUAAUAUAUUAGUGCCCCGCUUGUUUUCACCUGUGUGUGAACAAACACGGCUUCGGCCGCAGCUGAGAGCGACAACGAGGUUUUCGUUCCGAAGAGGAACGCCUUUUCCAUAGUACCGACCGAGCACCGAUUCACGUCAUUUCAAACGGUGCCUCGUUUCGGUACCCGUCCUUCAUAACGAGAACUUGCCUAGACAGCUGCGCAUGCGCAAGAGCGUUAUGUCGUCGGUCGCUGAGAGCGAGUUGUAAACAGAGCAGCAUGGUAGAAAGAACACGCUAAAGCUUGGGUCCACUUCACUAAAUGUGAUGGGUAACUGGGUGAUGAUGAAACCAGCAACAACGAUCUAAGUGAGACAUACUCAUCUUAAUCUGCUCCGGUAGGUAAAUAAAAUGUUUAAGAUAACGUUAGCUUGAUAUGUUAGCUUCCGUUUCGCUAAUGGUGCGUUCGCUUUCUCCUCGGAACUUCUAGAACUUUCCGACUAGAAGAACAUGAACGCGCUCUAAAGUUUGGCUUCACUUUACUGAAUGCGACGGGUGAUUGGGUGAAGAUGAAACCAGCGACAACGAUCUAAGUGUGAGGCAUCAUCGUUUUAAUCUGCUCCAGCAGCUAAAUAAACUGUUUAAGAUAACGUUAGCUUGAUAUGUUAGCUUCCAUUGCCACCAUUGUUAUCAGCUAAUGGUGCGUUCGCUUUCUCCUCGGAAAUUCUAACUUCCCAGUAGGAAAAAUCAAAUGAAAAAAAGACGGCAAAAGGAAUGAAGAUACACAGUAAAUUUAGUUCACAGUAAAGAUGUUUGCUUCAGUUUAAUUAUCAGCUUAUAAAACUACAAGGACGAUGUUAAAAUGCAAACAGUUGUAUGUUAUUUAUCGUGAUAUUUAUCAAAUAUGGUUAUAUAUUGAGAAAAAUAUAUAUUUAAUUAUAAAAGAGAAUUAAAAUAAUAAACACUCAAAAAUAUCGAAAAUUGGUACCGUUAAGUACCGGUAUCGAUUCGAAGGGACCGGGAAUUAGUACCGGAUCGAUUCAAAUGUCAAAGGUACCCAUCCCUAUUAUAUGGAACUGGUUUGGUUUUUCACCAGAUGACAAAGAGCAGCGAAACGUCAUUUGCAAACUUUGCAAGCAGAGCGUCAAGGCAAGUGAUGGCAACACCACAAACUUGUUUAAUCACUUGAAAAGAAAGCAUCCCAAACAAUACAAUGAGAGCCAGCUGGCAGCUAAAGCUAAAAAGCCUGCGGCUGCAGCGGCUAGUGCUUCUUCCAGGCAGCAAACGCCAACAGAAACACUCACAAAACUCACUCCCUACGACAGAGACAGCAGACGAUGGAACAGCGUGACAGAUGCAGUGACGUACCACUUGGUUAAAGAUUUGUGUCCCGUGCGAACAGUAGGAGCGGGAUUUAAGAACAUGAUAAAAACAUUGGAUUCGCGCUACGAGUUUUCCAGCUGCAAGUAUUUUUCGAACACCGCCAUUCCACGCAUGUACGCUGAAUGCAAAGUGAGAGUUGCAGAAAAUAUUCCGAAUGCGCAGUUUUUUGCUACCACAAGCGAUCUCUGGUCCAGCCGCACAUCAGAGCCGUAUUUGAGCUUAACUAUCCACUACAUGAGCAACUGGGAGCUACAUAGUAUUUUGAACAAGUUAAAGUUUGCACAAUACGUUUGCAAUUGACAUGUUUGCACUUUAAAUAUGUUUACGAUUUUAAUUUAUGUUAAGUUACUUGAAAAACGAGAAAAACAGAUUUUUGUAAUUGUUUCUCAGGGCUUUUAUCAUCUCUGGUGUGAGUUUAAAAUAUAAGUGUGUUAGCACUGUGCUGAUUAUCCCUAAUAUGAAUAAAUGUUUAUUUAUUCAAUGUUUCUCUUCUUUAAUACGCAAUUGAAGUUAUGCUAUUCAUGGAUAAAAAAUCGUGAUAAAAUCGAAAUCGUGAUAAAAUAUUUGAAAAAUUGUGAUAUUCUAUUUUUGCCAUAUCGCCCAGCCCUACCUUCCAAUACUGAGUCCUGUUCUGAUACCAGGUGGUGAUGCAACGCAUUAUAAAAGAAGAAAUAAGUCGUCCUUCUGUCUGUAUUUGUUAUUUUAGCCUGAAAAGGUGCCUUCGCACUUAAGACAAAAGGGGCAGGUGCUCAAGAACCCCCCCCCCCCUCGCCCGCACGUGCCUGUUCCUUAUGGGUAGCGCUCCCAUUCCAAUAACCCCACCCCCUGAGAAUUCUGGCCGAGCCAAUCAGAGGGAGAAGCACUGGAGGAGUCAACAGUAAGAGAAAAACUGUCAGAUAGGGACGUUCUGGUCCCAUUUUUUAGCUCCAGAUCCGAGUCCGAGUCAUUUGAUUAGGAGUAUCUGCUGAUACCAAGUCCUGAUCCGAUACUUGAUAAAUGACCUGCACUUGUACAGCGCCUCUCAGAGUAAAGACUCCAAAGCACUUGACACUACAGUGUAUCAUUCAUCCAUUCACACACACAGUCACACACUGAUGGUGAUGAGCUACGAUGUAGCCACAGCUGCCCUGGGGCGCACUGACAGAGGCGAGGCUGCCAAGCACAGGUGCCACCAGUCCCUCCGACCACCACCAGCAGGCAAGGUGGGGUUAAGUGUCUUGCCCAAGGACACAACAGCAGAAUUCUCUGUCCGGGCCUGGGAUCGAACCUGCAACCUUCCGAUUACUGGACAACCCGCUCAACCUGUUGAGCUACUGCUGCCCCUUCAGCAAAGCAUUGAAAUACGAUGCAGAAAGGAAAACGCUUCAACAUUUUUAUUAUUUUUUUUUUAAUUUUUCAAUUAUUUUGGUAUUUCUUUCUCUCUGUAUUUAUGUCAUUUUCUUAGUUUAUCUGCAGAAAAGUUUAGCUUAUCUGUCAUGUUUGGGUUGAUUUUCUGGACCCAGGACAUACACAACCGACCACAGAAGCCAAGGCAAGUAAAAAGCAAUAUUUUAUUCAAACGUUUAACUCAGGGGUAGGGAACCCUGGUCCUGGCGAGCCGUUAUCCAGGUUACACCUACCCCUGGUUUAACUAAAGGAGGUGAGGAGUCAAGGGACGUCUGGCUUGUGACAGUGUCUGUAAGCAGAGACCAGUUAGUGACUGGGAGAGCUGAUGAAUGGUAAGGAGAGAGCAUGGUAGAGCAGAGAGCUUACAGUUCAGGAGUAGGUAACACGCUCAUGGGAGGAGAGGUCAGGUCUGAGGUGGUGGCCAGGCUCGAGGUAGUUCCAGAGGGGCAAUGAUCGCAGGAGGGGAGAUCUGGGUUCAGGUGAACAGUGGAGAACAGGUCCGUCAGGAGGGACUGGGUGAGAUGUGGACUUGAGAUGCGCCCCAGAAAGUUUUUGCUGGAGAGUUGGUGGUGUCAUGAGUACCUGGAAGCCGGAGCAUGGUUAUAACUAGAGAAUAACAAGAAGUUAGGCUUGAGAGGUUUUCAGGCGAGAGAUCCCCAAGGUGAGUAAUCAUCUGGCAAGGUGCUGUUGUCUCCCUGCUUCUUAUGUAGCCAGACCGGUUGGUGAAAGAUCAACAGCAGCUUAGCCUGCUCCUCGGCGCCACCCACCUGUGAUUAAGCACUCUGAGGUUAUUAGAUUAGGAGGCCGCUCACCUCAGACCAUGACAUCACUUAGUUAUUAAUGUAACGUAGUAAUUAUUGUAUGUAUUUGGGUGCUUUUAAAGCUUAAUAUACUACCCUACACUUUAACCAAUGUGAUGUGAAUUUCCAUUUAAACAUGGGAAUCCAGUCUGAUAGGUCUUUGAAUGUUUUAACCAGAAGAUUUAAAAUUCAUUGUUUAUUCAGGGAUUGUAGGAUACUUCAUAUUAAUUCAAGAAGAGAGUCAAGUUUAGAAAAAGUAAGAAUUUAUUUUCCAAACAAUUAAAAACACGACAAGUUAACUAAAAGCCCCUUCAGACAGGCCAUGAAAAACGGAAAUGUUCCGGACUCUGUCCGUAAGACCUUUGUGUCUGAAUACAAACAUCCGGAUAACGUGUUCCGGAAUUUAUCCGGACG